UUAUUUAAAAGAAGCAAUUGCUUCACUACUUGAUGAUCCCGCGUUGUAUUAGCUAGUUGGUAGUGUAAAGGACUACCAAGGCGAUGAUACAUAGCCGACCUGAGAGGGUGAUCGGCCACACUGGGACUGAGACACGGCCCAGACUCCUACGGGAGGCAGCAGUAGGGAAUCUUCGGCAAUGGGGGCAACCCUGACCGAGCAACGCCGCGUGAGUGAAGAAGGUUUUCGGAUCGUAAAACUCUGUUGUUAGAGAAGAACGUUAAGUAGAGUGGAAAAUUACUUAAGUGACGGUAUCUAACCAGAAAGGGACGGCUAACUACGUGCCAGCAGCCGCGGUAAUACGUAGGUCCCAAGCGUUGUCCGGAUUUAUUGGGCGUAAAGCGAGCGCAGGUGGUUUCUUAAGUCUGAUGUAAAAGGCAGUGGCUCAACCAUUGUGUGCAUUGGAAACUGGGAGACUUGAGUGCAGGAGAGGAGAGCGGAAUUCCAUGUGUAGCGGUGAAAUGCGUAGAUAUAUGAGGAACACCGGAGGCGAAAGCGGCUCUCUGGCCUGUAACUGACACUGAGGCUCGAAAGCGUGGGGAGCAAACAGGAUUGGAUACCCUGGUAGUCCACGCCGUAAACGAUGAGUGCUAGCUGUAGGGAGCUAUAAGUUCUCUGUAGCGCAGCUAACGCAUUAAGCACUCCGCCUGGGGAGUACGACCGCAAGGUUGAAACUCAAAGGAAUUGACGGGGGCCCGCACAAGCGGUGGAGCAUGUGGCUUAAUUCGAAGCAACGCGAAGAACCUUACCAGGUCUUGACAUACUCGUGCUAUCCUUAGAGAUAAGGA
RNAcentral lists this ribosomal RNA (827 nucleotides) under uncultured Lactococcus sp. Its description in RNAcentral is "bacterial SSU rRNA". It matches the Rfam family "Bacterial small subunit ribosomal RNA", at positions 196 to 1012 of the family's 1533-position model. Lineage: Bacteria; Bacillati; Bacillota; Bacilli; Lactobacillales; Streptococcaceae. The record is from RNAcentral.